CGUACCCCUCCUCCCUCGUCCCCAUCUCCUCGCCGCCACCGCCACCUCCUCCCUCGUCCCCGGGCCCCUCCUAAUCCAGUCCUCUCCUCGCCGCUCGCACCCACCGCCGACCUCUCCGUCCAACCAACCAAACCCCAUCUCAUCCCCCCGCACUCUCUAUCUUCCUCGCUCGAUUCCCUCCUCGUCUCUCCCUCGCCUCGCCUCGCCGCCCCAACCCACCGCCACCGGCGACUUUGCUCCCCCGCUCCGCCCUAUCCCCCACCAUCGCCGCGAAACCCUUCACCCUCCUCCUCUCCCUCCCAGAUCGAGCAGCACGUCAGGUGGCCGCUAGAUCCGCCCCGGCGCUACCAGAUCCAAUCUCGUGCCGUCAACACGCGAGAGGGUGCGCGAGGUCAUCUGCUCCCCCCCCCAUCGCUCACGCGCCAGGAGAGGAAGAGAUGGCGGCCACUUGUUUGUUCCUUUCUCUCCGGCGACAACGCGGCCGUGCGGGUUCUUCCGCUCGAGGAGAGAUUUCGCUGCAGCUCGGUUGCUCCGACGCCAUGGAGCUCGUCAACAAGAUCUCCUCUCUCGCUCUCUCUCUCUCUCUCUCUCGCUCUCUCUCUCUCUACAGUUCGACCCGAUUUGUUUUGGGGCUCCUGUUGCUCUGUUCGUGAUGCUCGUGCUUCUCCCUCUCUGCUGCAGGACACCAUCUCCCUCUCUGUGUUGCUCUGUUCGCCAAGUUCUUUCUGAUGCACGAUAUAAAACCCUUGGAGGAGUUCGAGAACCCUAGAUGCAGCCACGACGGCCUCAACGCCUUCAAAUCUUGGGCUCCAACAAGCGGCUCUAGGAGAUGGAGCUUUGGAUGCUCCACCUCACUGCCCUGCUUACCACCAGGAAUAUGCUCAACCCAGGGGUUCCGUUCCACUCAUGCUCAACUUUUUCAAUAGAUCCCUUCUGCCUGGCGCUUGCUGAUUUCUACCAGUUGCUUUCAUGAGCAUGCUUAUUCAGGUCAUUGUUGUGAAGGCCGCCACAGGAAGGCGUGGGGGAUUUGGCACAAGGCCGGUGAUCGAGUAUAUGCUCUCUCUCCUCCAUGGAAAGACCUAAAUUCAGCUUGACAGAGAGCACACGAAUGGUUUCAUAGUGUGUUCAGCGUAAAGAGCUAUGUGAGCCCUCCUGGGAGGGGCUUCGGUUGUACCUCUGAUUGAGCUCCCCAUAAACUUUGGCCCAAGAAGCUCAAGUUUGAAGUGUGAAGUGUGAAGCCGUGAAGUACUACUCAGUGAAGAGCAGCAUAUUGUAGCAUAUCUGUGUUGUAAAGAUUGUAAUAGAUUUAUUUAGUGGUAUAUUUGAUGAAUUUAAUGUGUUCCUUGUUCUUUUUGAAGUAUUGAUUAUGUAUGUGAUUUGAAAACUUGUGAAAUGGAAACUUACCAGUGGGGCAACUUAUGAAAACAAUCUGUCUAAUUUGUACAUUUCUGACAUGUGGGACCAAUUUGAGAGAUGAACAUGACAAGUGGGACCUAUCUGACUAGUGGGACCGGCUUGAAUAUAUAACGGUUGUAAAUAGAAAAAUAAAUAGACCAUAAAAGGCCACGGCCCAGAAAAUGAAAAAAGGCCGAAUUGUUGGGCCAGGUCCAUGGGGCUAACCAGAAUUAAUAGAAAA
Molecule: long non-coding RNA, 1636 nt
Organism: Aegilops tauschii subsp. strangulata
Lineage: Eukaryota; Viridiplantae; Streptophyta; Magnoliopsida; Poales; Poaceae
Source: RefSeq, a predicted model, not a curated record